GACGAACGCUGGCGGCGUGCUUAACACAUGCAAGUCGAACGAUGAAGAAAAGAAUUGAAGCUUCGGCAGAAAUUCAUUUCGGAUUAGUGGCAGACGGGUGAGUAACGCGUGAGCAACCUACCUCUUACAAAGGGAUAGCCUCGGGAAACCGGGAUUAAUACCAUAUAACAUUGCGACGAAGCAUUUCGAUGCAAUCAAAGCUACGGCGGUAAGAGAUGGGCUCGCGUCCCAUUAACCAGAUGGUGAGGUAACGGCUCACCAUAGUAACGAUGGGUAACCGGCCUGAGAGGGUGAACGGUCACACUGGAACUGAGACACGGUCCAGACUCCUACGGGAGGCAGCAGUGGGGAAUAUUGCACAAUGGAGGGAACUCUGAUGCAGCGACGCCGCGUGAGUGAUGAAGGAAUUCGUUUCGUAAACUCUGUUCUAUGGGAAGAAAAGGACUGUACCAUAGGAGAAAGCUCCGGCUAAAUACGUG
RNAcentral lists this ribosomal RNA (479 nucleotides) under uncultured bacterium. Its description in RNAcentral is "partial 16S ribosomal RNA". It matches the Rfam family "Bacterial small subunit ribosomal RNA", at positions 28 to 507 of the family's 1533-position model. The record is from RNAcentral.